RNAcentral lists this non-coding RNA (62 nucleotides) under Odontella aurita. Lineage: Eukaryota; Bacillariophyta; Thalassiosirophyceae; Eupodiscales; Odontellaceae. The record is from RNAcentral.
ACGAAAAAAAAGAGAAGAAAGAAAAAAGCUAAUAAUACGUGUACACUUAUUUGAAAUUUUUU